Molecule: ribosomal RNA, 686 nt
Filed under: Bulbophyllum uhl-gabrielianum
Lineage: Eukaryota; Viridiplantae; Streptophyta; Magnoliopsida; Asparagales; Orchidaceae
Description: eukaryotic LSU rRNA
Rfam family: 5.8S ribosomal RNA (bases 254-409)
Source: RNAcentral
CUGCGGAAGGAUCAUUGUCGAGACCGAAUUAUUAUCGAGCGAUUCAGAGAACCGGUGCAAAUAAGCGACGGCAGUUGCUGUGCGCAAUGGCCAUCCCAGUCGUUGCCUCGAGAUCCCCUUUGGGGGAGGGGGCAUGAUGAAGGGCGGCUGAAAAUCCAGACCGGCGCAGCUUCGCGCCAAGGGAUGCUGAAACACGAGCCCGAUAUCGGGUUUGGCGGAGUGGGGUGCGGUUGCACUCCAUGUGGAUGUACACGACUCUCGGCAAUGGAUAUCUCGGCUCUCGCAUCGAUGAAGAGCGCAGCGAAAUGCGAUACGUGGUGCGAAUUGCAGAAUCACGCGAACCAUCGAGUCUUUGAACGCAAGUUGCGCCCGAGGCCAACCGGCCGAGGGCACGUCCGCCUGGGCGUCAAGCGUUGCGUCGCUCCAUGCCAACGCAGGCCCCCCAACGGGUGUGCCGGGUGGAGGCCUGGAUGUGGAGGAUGGCCCGUCGUGCUCCCAUCGGCGCGACGGGUUGAAGAGUGGGUGAUCGUCUCGCUGGCCACGAACAGUAGGGGGUGGAUGAAAGCGAUGCCUAUGUUUUGUAUCGUGCUUGUCAGGGAGCAGAUUAUAAAUUCAAGGUGAUCCAAACCCAUGCGUCGGCCCACGGGCGACGGCUUGGAAUGCGACCCCAGGAUGGGCGAGGCCAC